AUUGAACGCUGGCGGCAUGCCUUACACAUGCAAGUCGAACGGUAGCGGGCCUUCGGGUGCCGACGAGUGGCGAACGGGUGAGUAAUGUAUCGGAACGUACCAUUGAGUGGGGGAUAACGUAGCGAAAGUUACGCUAAUACCGCAUAUUCUCUCCGGAGGAAAGCAGGGGACCGCAAGGCCUUGCGCUCUUUGAGCGGCCGAUAUCAGAUUAGCUAGUUGGUGAGGUAAAGGCUCACCAAGGCGACGAUCUGUAGCGGGUCUGAGAGGAUGAUCCGCCACACUGGAACUGAGACACGGUCCAGACUCCUACGGGAGGCAGUAGUGGGGAAUUUUGGACAAUGGGGGCAACCCUGAUCCAGCCAUGCCGCGUGAGUG
This 375-nucleotide ribosomal RNA is filed under the name uncultured bacterium. Its description in RNAcentral is "bacterial SSU rRNA". It matches the Rfam family "Bacterial small subunit ribosomal RNA", at positions 30 to 407 of the family's 1533-position model. The record is from RNAcentral.